RNAcentral lists this ribosomal RNA (134 nucleotides) under Vibrio cholerae. RNAcentral's name for it is "partial 23S ribosomal RNA". The stretch from base 1 to 112 matches the Rfam family "Bacterial large subunit ribosomal RNA", at positions 2815 to 2925 of the family's 2925-position model. Lineage: Bacteria; Pseudomonadati; Pseudomonadota; Gammaproteobacteria; Vibrionales; Vibrionaceae. The record is from RNAcentral.
CAGUUUAACUGUCCUAAAGGGUUGUUCGAGACUAGAACGUUGAUAGGCAGGGUGUGUAAGCGUUGUGAGGCGUUGAGCUAACCUGUACUAAUUGCCCGUGAGGCUUAACCAUACAACACCCAAGGGGUUUUGUA